This 492-nucleotide ribosomal RNA is filed under the name uncultured bacterium. Its description in RNAcentral is "partial 16S ribosomal RNA". It matches the Rfam family "Bacterial small subunit ribosomal RNA", at positions 29 to 507 of the family's 1533-position model. The record is from RNAcentral.
AUUGAACGCUGGCGGCAUGCUUUACACAUGCAAGUCGAACGGUAACAGGCCUUCGGGUGCUGACGAGUGGCGAACGGGUGAGUAAUGCAUCGGAACGUACCCAGAGGUGGGGGAUAACGCAGCGAAAGCUGUGCUAAUACCGCAUGUGAUCUGAGGAUGAAAGCGGGGGACCGAGCAGCAAUGUUUGGCCUCGCGCCUUUGGAGCGGCCGAUGUCGGAUUAGCUAGUUGGUGGGGUAAAGGCCUACCAAGGCGACGAUCCGUAGCGGGUCUGAGAGGACGACAAGCCACAGGGGGAAGGAGCCAGGGCCAAGACUCAGAGGGGAGGCGGAAGGGGGAAAUGUGGGACAAGGGGGGGAGGCUGGACCAAGAAAGGCGGCGGGGGGAAAAAGGGCCUUCGGUUUGAAACCGGUUUUGGGAGGAAACGAAGGGGGGUCGGCAAAUACGGGGGGUAAAUGAGGUAACCUGAAAAAAAAGAACGGGCAAACUAGGGG